RNAcentral lists this ribosomal RNA (253 nucleotides) under uncultured bacterium. RNAcentral's name for it is "partial 16S ribosomal RNA". It matches the Rfam family "Bacterial small subunit ribosomal RNA", at positions 524 to 776 of the family's 1533-position model. The record is from RNAcentral.
UACGAAGGGGGCGAGCGUUGUUCGGAAUUACUGGGCGUAAAGGGCGCGUAGGCGGCCGAUCAAGUCAGAUGUGAAAGUCCUGGGCUUAACCUGGGGACUGCAUUUGAUACUGAUUGGCUUGAAUGCAGGAGAGGAUAGCGGAAUUCCCAGUGUAGAGGUGAAAUUCGUAGAUAUUGGGAAGAACACCGGUGGCGAAGGCGGCUAUCUGGAUCUUUUCUGACGCUGAGGCGCGAAAGCUAGGGGAGCAAACGGG